This 492-nucleotide ribosomal RNA is filed under the name uncultured bacterium. RNAcentral describes it as "partial 16S ribosomal RNA". It matches the Rfam family "Bacterial small subunit ribosomal RNA", at positions 29 to 507 of the family's 1533-position model. The record is from RNAcentral.
AGUGAACGCUGGCGGUAGGCCUAACACAUGCAAGUCGAACGGCAGCACAGUAAGAGCUUGCUCUUACGGGUGGCGAGUGGCGGACGGGUGCGGAAUACAUCGGAAUCUACUUUUUCGUGGGGGCUAACGUAGGGAAACUUACGCUAAUACCGCAUACGACCUACGGGUGAAAGCAGGGGAUCUUCGGACCUUGCGCGAUUGAAUGAGCCGAUGUCGGAUUAGCUAGUUGGCGGGGUAAAGGCCCACCAAGGCGACGAUCCGUAGCUGGUCUGAGAGGAUGAUCAGCCACACUGGAACUGAGACACGGUCCAGACUCCUACGGGAGGCAGCAGUGGGGAAUAUUGGACAAUGGGCGCAAGCCUGAUCCAGCCAUACCGCGUGGGUGAAGAAGGCCUUCGGGUUGUAAAGCCCCUUUGUUGGGAAAGAAAAGCAGCAGGUUAAUACCCCGCUGUUCUGACGUUACCCAAAGAAUAAGCACCGGCUAACUUCGUG